GACGAACGCUGGCGGCGUGCUUAACACAUGCAAGUCGAACGGAAAGGCCCUGCUUUUGUGGGGUGCUCGAGUGGCGAACGGGUGAGUAACACGUGAGUAACCUGCCCUUGACUUUGGGAUAACUUCAGGAAACUGGGGCUAAUACCGGAUAGGAGCUCCUGCUGCAUGGUGGGGGUUGGAAAGUUUCGGCGGUUGGGGAUGGACUCGCGGCUUAUCAGCUUGUUGGUGGGGUAGUGGCUUACCAAGGCUUUGACGGGUAGCCGGCCUGAGAGGGUGACCGGCCACAUUGGGACUGCGAUACGGCCCAGACUCCUACGGGGGGCAGCAGUGGGGAAUAUUGCCCAAUGGGCGGAAGCCUGAUGCAGCAACGCCGCGUGCGGGAUGACGGCCUUCGGGUUGUAAACCGCUUUCGCCUGUGACGAAGCGUGAGUGACGGUAAUGGGUAAAGAAGCACCGGCUAACUACGUG
RNAcentral lists this ribosomal RNA (468 nucleotides) under uncultured bacterium. RNAcentral's name for it is "partial 16S ribosomal RNA". It matches the Rfam family "Bacterial small subunit ribosomal RNA", at positions 28 to 507 of the family's 1533-position model. The record is from RNAcentral.